Molecule: long non-coding RNA, 1959 nt
Organism: Grus americana (Whooping crane)
Lineage: Eukaryota; Metazoa; Chordata; Aves; Gruiformes; Gruidae
Exons: 3
Source: RefSeq, a predicted model, not a curated record
UCCUCAGCUAAGACAAAGACUGUGAAACACUGGUGUUCCAUCCAAUACAAAUUUAAAUAGUAAAACUAUCAAACGUAAGUUACAGAUGUCUAGCAUACAAAAUUUAACUCCAUGUCGUGACCAAUCAUUAGGAAAUGUUGGAUUAAAAGCCCAAAAUAUUAAAUUGGCAGAAAAUGCAAUAAUCAUGCAGAGCAUUACUGCGCAAAGAAAAAUAAUCCUUGCAGAGAUCAGGUAUUAAGGCAGCAGUUGUUUUUUAAACAAACACCACACUAUUUUUGAAGUCAUGGGUUGUUGGGUUGUUUUUUUUUCAGAAAGCUGACCAGAGAAUAUUAACUGAACCAAUACAUCAAAAUAGGCUGAAGACAACUGUCACAAGUCUUUCUUGUGCCCUUGUAAUGUAAGAGGAGCCUUGGGGCAGAUGAAAAGAUGAAAGCAGACCCUGCAAAAGGUCCACACCCUGGUGAACCUUGAUGGCUACUGUAGCUAUGAGGGAAGCACUGAAAAAAUGGGAGAAGCUCCAAGCAUACAGGCAUUUGAAAUAAGGACUUGACAGACCCCAGGGGGCUCUACAAGAGGUGAUGGGGUACAGGGAAGUACCUGUAAUUGACUCCUGCUUUCUAGGCCUCACGCAGAAACACAGUCACUGUGAGUCUGUGACUCUGCAUCUUUGUUGCUGAAUAUCUAUCCUGAAAAAUAUUUUAAAACUGUAUUUCUUUCCCUAGACCUCAAGUUCUUCCCUUUUGUUUUUCUAGUUCUUUAUGAAGAACAGUAAUUUCCAUGCUUUUCAGGUUGCAGAGCACUACCAAGUCCCAACAUUUUCUCUAAGUGGCAUGUAUGUCUACGAAUAUUUGUACCUUAGAAUAAAGGCUCCACAUACUGCCUGUGGAUGAUUCACCAUGGUCUUGUUGACCACUGAUAGUAGGCAGAUAAUUUGAAAACCACAGACUUAAUAUUUAUUUGUAAGUAUGGCAAUUAAAAUGCCAUGUCCCCUCUCUCUUUCCCACACAUACCUCCCACAGCAUUCUGCAGCACAUGUCACACAGCUGGAUGCAGGUGCACAAAACAACAAGAGGAAAGUUCUCUGUUUAUCUCAAAUGUGAAACAUCCACAGUUUUGCAUGUUGAAAGGCCAACAGGAAAUACAGGUAUCAUCUGACUGACUAUUCAGUGCAGACCAUCUGAUUUCAGUUACUCUGACAGACAGCUUGAUAACAUCAUUAUCUGGGAUCCCUCAAAAAAUCACCAUACUCCUCACUGACAGCAUACAGCCACUAGCCUCAUUUACGUGCCCACACUUCUGCCAGAAACCACUUGAGAGUUGACUCAGACGGACAUAAAUCAACACGUGCAAAUUGACUCAGACAUGUCAGGUUCAAUGGUUGCUCCCAAGGUUCCUUUCUGCCACCCAGCACCUGCACGCUGACUGCUCAGCAGCUGCCGUGGCCCUUGAGCCUGUCCAGUCUAACCUGCAACAGAAGCAGCAGACUUGUACCCAUCACCGCCAUUUCUCUCUGUUCAAUACUGCUGGUCUAAAGGGGAUGCAACGCUGUGCACUUACCAAUACAAACAGUUUGUCAAUUUUAUAUAUGCACAGGUGUAUGUAUAUGUGUAUACACAUACACAUUCAAACUUCUAAUCCUACAUCUGCUCUUCAUCCUUGUAUUGGAAGGAAGUCUGAAGCAGAGUUUCGGAGACCUCAGCAUUUUGACCUUUAAGCAGGACGGGGUUCAUAAAGCACCAUGUAUUGGUGGUAUUCCCCUAUGUUAGUUUUUCCUCUGCAACACAGCCUUUGCACCACCACUACUGAGUGAAGCAUGUGAGGUCUACCGUAGUUAUGGAGUUCAACCAUACACAUAUAAGACCUCUUUCACACCAAGGCAAGGCAUACACAUUAAUAGUACAACUUAGAACAAAGUGAUCACCCUGACACUAAUGUUGUUCAUAGAGAUGAACCCUUUGA